This 223-nucleotide unclassified non-coding RNA is filed under the name plant metagenome. RNAcentral describes it as "partial contains small subunit ribosomal RNA, internal transcribed spacer 1, and 5.8S ribosomal RNA". The record is from RNAcentral.
UUUCCGUAGGUGAACCUGCGGAAGGAUCAUUAUCAUGUAAUUCAGUCCCCUUGGCUGUGUUAUAUAUAUACCCACUCUGUGUACCUUCUCCUGUUGCUUCCGCUGGGUGUGUAAUUCGCCCGGCGGAAGGGUAAAAAUAACCUCUGAGUAUUGAUGAAAUCUCUGUCUGAACCGAAUAGAAGGAAUAAUGUUAAAACUUUCAGCAACGGAUCUCUUGGUUCUC